This 586-nucleotide long non-coding RNA is filed under the name Mytilus galloprovincialis (Mediterranean mussel). Lineage: Eukaryota; Metazoa; Mollusca; Bivalvia; Mytilida; Mytilidae. The record is from RNAcentral.
UUGUUUUAUUAUAUUUCAUACGAAUUCAUUUGAAUAUAAUACAUUCUGAAAUAAAAUGAUAUUCAUCUUCAACAGAAUUACAGUUGCACAUAUUAGUUUUCAAAGGUACCAGGAUUUAAAUUUAAUACGCCAGACGCGCGUUUCGUCUACAUAAGACUCAUCAGUGACGUUCAUAUCAAAAUAGUUGUAAAGCUUAACAAGUACAAAGUUGAAGAGCAUCGAGGACCCAAAAUUCAAAAAUGGUGUGUCAAAUACGACUAAGGUAAUCUAUUCCUGGGAUAAGAAAAUCAUUGGUUUUUUCGAAAAAUUAAAGUUUUGUAACAGGAAAUUUACAAAAAUGACCAUAUAAUUGAUAUUCAUGUCAACACCGAAGUGCUGACUUCUGGACUGGUGAUACCCUCGGGGACGAAACGUCCACUAGCAGUGUCAUCGACCCAGUGGUGUAAAAUAGUUAUCAAAGGUACCAGGAUUAUAAUGUAAUACGACAGACAAGCGUUUCGUCUACAUAAGACUCAUCAUUGACGCUCAGAUCAAAAUAAUUGUAAAGCCUAACAAGUACAAAGUUGAAGAGCAUUGAGGACCCAAA